UACGUAGGUGGCAAGCGUUGUCCGGAUUUACUGGGCGUAAAGAGCGCGCAGGCGGCUGGGCAAGUCCGAUGUGAAAGCUUCCGGCUUAACUGGAAAAUUGCAUCGGAAACUGCUCGGCUUGAAGGUGGGAGAGGGUAGCGGAAUUCCCGGUGUAGUGGUGAAAUGCGUAGAUAUCUGGAGGAACACCGGUGGCGAAGGCGACAUCCUGGACCGGUAUUGACGCUGAGGCGCGAAAGCCAGGGGAGCAAACGGG
RNAcentral lists this ribosomal RNA (253 nucleotides) under uncultured bacterium. RNAcentral describes it as "partial 16S ribosomal RNA". It matches the Rfam family "Bacterial small subunit ribosomal RNA", at positions 524 to 776 of the family's 1533-position model. The record is from RNAcentral.